AGAGAUCUUGAUGCAGACGCCCUUUUGGAUUUCUUUUUAAUAAUGUGUGACCCUUCACCUUUGAUCCCUUGACCUGCAUUACUUUGAGUCACCUGUUAAAUAACGUGGCAGGCAAAACAGUACUCAGAGAAUUCUGCUGAGCAGUGUCUCCUCCGUGUUGAUGUACCCAGUGGUUAGAGCCGAGAUGGACGAUCGCAGCCUACGUCAGUGUUUGAAGCGUUCAGGUUUGGCUUGUCUGCUUUUCAGCUCUUCUAGACAUUGGAAAUUCCAGUUUGUGUUUAUUUUCUCUGGAUUCCUUCCCACAAGACAGAAGUGAAUUCAGCAUGGAUUAUUGGGGAGAACCUUGGCUGGGAAUAAGGAUAAUUGCAGUCUCUGGCUGUGCCACAGAUUUACUGAUGAUUUCUUUUAAGUUAUUCACCUGCACUGUAUCUGUUUCCUCAGCUGUAAAAUGUGGGUAAUUACCUCCAUUGUAAAAUGUUAUGGGGUCUGCUGGUAAUUAUAUGAAUGAAGUACUAAUUACAGUGAUUAUUACUUGGACCUAGUCUAGAUCUGGGUGAUGCUCCUGUUGUGAUGAACGUGUGAAACACACGCUACGACUUGCCUUUCUCCAUUCUUUGGGAGGGACCUGGCAGGGAAGGUGCCGCGGCAUUGGGAUGUACGUUCCUGAUGAGAAGCGCUACUUUUUCAUGCAAGUCAGUCUGUUAACUUCCCGUCUCCCUCAUCCUCACGCGAUAGCAGGCAGGAGGCUGAUGGGAGGCUAAGAAAUGACUAAUUCGGUAGUUGGAUCCACGUGUAAUUCAAUAGUAAGGGUUCGUGCUUUGGCAUUCGCUGUUCCUCUUGGAGAUGCGCAGAAGCAGCAGACGGGGAGUGUGGUCUCCGAGAGGCUGGUUGGGUUGGGGACAGUCCGUGUGCCACCUUGUGGCCUCGGUGCCUUUGGAAGAUCUGACCUUCAUGCGGGAAAAGGUGUCCUUCCAGCUGGGGAGGUUAUUGCCCUCCUGUAAAAGACGACCGCUUGCAAGACUUUUUAUCAAGCGUUUUAUUUGCCUUUCUCUUCUCGAUUUAUUUAGGACACGUUUUCUUUGUAGCUGGGAACAGCUCUGCUAUCUGCUGAGCAAGGCUGGUCAGUGGAGGAAGAAUUGAUAUUCUUUAAGGUAGAAAUGGAGAGUUCUCAUCCAGGAAAUACUGCUGCUGCUGCCCGGAUGAUGCUGUAGUUCCUGACGGUAGUAAUGAUGAGUAAUGACUUGCAUCCGUUAACGACGAGAGGCUCCUACUCGACACCAGCCUUCUCUGGACACACGUUUCGUGGCACAGUAGCAACAAAAACCGUGUUCUUGGUUCGUCUUGCUGCAGUUCCUGCCUGCUCUGCUGUGCCACGUCUGCUGGCUGGAUUUCAGCCCUCGCCUCCGCACUCCCACUUGCCAUCAGCCUCGGCCGUUCUUUGCCCUGGAAGAGCAGCCAGAGAUCUCGGUAAUGGCAUCAGGAUUUGGUAGCAAGCUAGAGGUGACAGGCUGGGCAGCUCUUCCUUUCUCAGAGUUUCAUGGUUGCAGUGAAUUUUUAACUUUUAAGAGGAGGGUUUAGUUAUUGUCCAGUAUCAUAAUAUGAAAAGGCUUUCCAGCAGUGGAAAGGCAAUUUUUAAUUGCAGUUUUGCACUUGAAUUUCCCAAACUAGAUGCUCACCUCUGACAGCUUAUUUCUGAUUGAUGCUACAUGUUGAAAUCAAUCUGGAGUAUAUCACGUCCUCGCAAUAUGUCAGUGGUUGGCAAUGCAAAGUCCAUCUUACGCAGCUCAGUGGAUCAUUAUUCUGUUUGCGGGUAACUUAAGGGAGACAAAUGGUUCCAAGUACAGGUUUUCUCCAAGGCUUCUACGUUUAAAACUUUAAAAGCCGUAACUGAAAAUCCACCAAAUACAAAUACGGGUGCCUGCCCGUGGUGAGCCCAGCGGCCGGCGUUUGUGCCGCUUGUGGCUUUGCCGGCCCCAGGGCUGCAGGGCCCGUCUCCCGCCCUGCUGCAGGGCCGGGAGCAGCCCCUCGGCACUCGGGGGCAUCCGUCCUCCACCGCCUGCCUCUGGGCAGCCUCAGCCUCCCCAGACGGGAGUUCUGCUCUUGGCUUCUUGAACCACCCGUUUUUGUCGUGACGGAAUGCUCGGGUGCCCCGUGACGGGUGCCAGUGUGUGGUGCCAGACAAGUGAAAACAGUCGUUGCCGAGCAGUAAGUGUAUGGAGAGACCUCACCUGGCCAGAAAUGAGGGAUCAUCCCUCCCGCCAUCACUCUUACCUCGCUUCAGAGCAUCUAAAAUACCAGACGGUUGUUCGCCUGUCUGUGCACCUCACCUAAUAAUCGUAUGUUGGAUUUUAAAAACAAAAAUCCUGUUGAUUUGGGAAGCCAAAAACUUGGUUCAUUCCCAGAAGCAUCGUCUAUUAAGAUCCUACAGAAGCGUCUUCUAUUAAGAUUGAUUAGUUUGGUGAGAGAUGCUUCAGCGGCGAAUAAUGCCGUAUGAAUGUUCUUAUUGCGCCUUGCACCAGAGAAUGGAGCUGUGUGCGCUCUGCAAGCCCUGUGUGGUGAGGCACAGCGAGUUACUGCCUGAUCGGAAGGACAGUCAAUAAUUCGGAUUCGAGAUUUAUUCAGCUAUAAUUUUAUAGCAUUCUUGCAACAAAUGGGAACGUGUAUUAUCUAUGAGAUUUCUGUAUCUCAAUAUCACUGUCCUGUAAAUCAACAUACUAACAUAUGACCUUUUUUUUUUUUAAACUAACAUGUUUAGUAACGUAAUAAUUAUAAAGUCUCUAAGGUCUUCCUCCUCUUAGAAAUUAGUGAACUGUCUGUGUUUUAUCCUGGUGGCAAAGUGUUGCAUAAAACCACCGUAGCUUAUAAAAAUGCUUUCAAGUAGCUGAAUUAAAGUGUAGCACCACCACGAAAACAAAAGUAUUAAAGCAGAAGUGAUUCCAGAAUAACUUGCUGCUAAAUCGAGAUUUCUCUACUGUGAGAGCAGGUUUUUAAAGAUUAAAUACCCCGGUUGGGUGGCGAUUGCAAACCCCAGUGCGACAGUCGAGGUGGCAUUUUUAUUUGUCAGCGGUUACCACAGGAAAAUUUGCUUUAACCUUUUUUUUCCUUUUUUUAAAAUUGCCUGCCCCUCCUUGGCUCUGUGACUGGCAGGCGAAUGCAUGGGAUGGUUUCAGGCCGUUCCCCGUGUUCCCGUCCUCGCGGGCUGUGCUGGCCGGUGGCCGCGGUGCCGCCGGCGUCACCUCGUGUCCCCAGCCCCGCGCAGCAGCCGUGGACACGGCACGUGCCGGACGGUCCCGGCGCGAGGGAGCUCCCGUCCCUGCCGGCCUCACCGCCGGAGGAGGAGGAUGAUGAUUUCCUUCCUUCGCCCCAUUUCUAGCUGCCCCCGUCUCUGUACGGACGCGGAAUCCCCACAGGAGGGUGCUGUGAAGGCAUUUAAUGUGCAGAUUUUGCUGGGAAGAUCGGAGUUUUGAGGAAACGGCGAUUCUCGGGAAGGCGAAGCUGCGUCGUUGCGGCAGGGCCGGCGCGUGCCCCGGCGCGGGAGGGAUGCGGGACAGGCCCGCGCUGGUGCCGCCGUGCUGCCCGCGGCCCUGCCGCCGGACGGUGCCGGGGUGGCCGGGGGUGACCACAAGGAAGGCGACGCGCUCGGGCACCGGGAAAGCAUCCCGGGGUGUUAUCGCUUACGGCGGGUACCGGGACCCUUCCCCACGAGUCUCAUCCACGGCCCACGGGUCGCCUGGCUUCUCGCCGACGAGCCGUGGAGCCGCUCGUCUACUUUCCUGUCUGUACGUAGAAUAUUUAAUCUGCAUAAACUACAAAAUCCAUUUGGUUGCAAGUAGAAGCUCUAGCUUCUGUCCUAAAAUACUUUGUAAGUUAGGCCGUUCUGUUCAGCGUGAUCAGAAAGACAAAUGAAAAAUAAGGGAGAAAGCUUUCCCUAGUUCUUAGCUGUAAAACUUCUCUUUCAAAUAUUUUAAAUAAAAUAGGUUAUUCCUUUUGUAUAGUAUAUACUUGUGCCAAAAUACUUUUAUGCGACAAGGCAAGUUAAAUAGCAUUUCCCACAUGCGGCUUCUGUCAGCUGGGGACUGCUUCAAAUAGAAAUUAAAUACGAUCAUUUAAAAGAAAACAGAAAACCCCAGCCCAGGGGAGCUGCGGGCUGUUCUUCCCCUCGCGCUCCCGCUCUGCCCCCACCCUGCCGCCUCCUCAGGCUUUUCAGGGGGUUUUUAAUAAACUUUUUAAAGUGAGGAUUAUAACUAAAAUAGAGACUUAUCUUUGGGACGACCUCUAAAACACGUGGGGGGAUUAAACCUAAUUCUGUUAUAGAGAAUAUGGUUGCUCCGAUUCUUUUAAUGGCAGUGAGAUAAGCUGAUAGAGCUGUAUUAUUGGGUUUUUUUUAAAAUCUCCUAGUCAUUAAAUAAGAGUACAUCGCUCUUAACCCUGGUGAGCGGGAUCCGUGUGUGUCCGGUGCGAGUCCCAGCGGGGUUUCGCCACUGCCCGUGCGUGGCCUGUGCCGGGCGGUGGGGCUGGGACGUUUGGAUGGAAACCGUUCGGCAGAGACGGUGCCUGGUGUUAUCCUGCAUUUUUGGCAUUCGUCUUAACUCACACCACCUAAAUCUUUUGCCGGGAUGGAUCACCACGAACGAGGCUUACCUGACGAACUCGGUGGAAGGACGGUGCCUGGCAGCAGCACUGGAGCCGUGCCCCGUUGCCAGCGCGGUGGAACCGAGCCGUUCUCGUGUCCGAACGUGCAUUAAAUUGGCCACAGGUCAUUGAAAUAGACUCGGAUUUAGGCUUUGUAAAGCGAGACUUUCCGCUCCCCGGAGGAGCUUUGGCUUAGCGGUAACCAGCCACAGCCGUGGUAGUUUUUGGUUACCAAGCGGAGUCUGUUUGGAUGUUAGGAAAUCGGAGCAUAAAUUCUGACACAGUCGGCUGUGUCAUGCGCGUCGCCUCCGUGACUCUGUGACCUCCAGCUGCUGUUACUUCAAACACUUGCCAUUAGACGCAGUCGGUAACACCCUCAUGAGUUCUAUAGGAGCUUUUCCUCCUGCCAUCUCAAAUGAAAAAUAAACAAAAGAGCUUAAGCAUGCAACGUGCUAAAUAGACUAAUAAGCUGUGAAAAUAUUUUACGGGGAAAUCUGGGGCAAGAGCUGUCUGCUGAAGCAAGCCUAUUAGACUUGGCAGCAGCAGGGCUUUGGGAGGCGUUCUUUGGGAGAGAUAAUUGAAAGAUUUUUUCAUAUGUAUGUGUAUUAUUUUUUUUCCCCCUUUCUGAGUAGUUUUAAGAAAUCCCUCCCUCCUUAAAUUGAUUACCUCUCAGCAGCAGAACGCCUUGGCUUUAAGUACCCGCUAAGCUGCUCCUGUGCUGAUUUGACUCUGCCUUUCUGUUAAAUGUAAAACAGGUUUUAAUCUUCUCAUUUAGCUGUUUUAAUAGAAAGUAAAUGUUUAACUUGCUUGGCUGUGGCACCCACAUCUUUAAUCCACGGGAAUGCUUGUAAUGAAAGGAGAUGGUGUUUUGUUUGAGGCCGGCGGUGCCAGCCAUGGCGGCCGUUCCCGGGGGGCAUCCUGCCGGCGGCGUUUGGGAGAGGGAAGGGGCCGGUUUGCCGGACGGCAAUUCCUGUUCGAAAUGGGAUUCCUGGGAAUUGCCCGGUGCUCACCAGCCCGGAGCUGGAGCUGGUGCCGAAAUGUCAGGGAAAGCAAAUAACCGUCCGUGAGCAGAUCGAGGGAUGAUGGGUUCUCGGAACGUGACGGGACGAGCAGCGAGAACCCUGUCUCGGGACGGGUCCCGACUCUGGGGAACGGGGAAAGGUCUGUAAACGUGCAGUAAAUUAAGUGUUUGUGAUUACUGCCUGCAAGCUUAAUCACAGCUUUUUCCGGAGGUUUACGUUUGGAGAUUAUUUACGUGUUCUGAUGGUGUUAUAAUUGCUGCUCUGUAGAAGAGCUGGAGCAGGGCGCUCCCUGGGAGGACUCCCGAGAGCAGCCCGGCGGCACUUGGUGCACUUACACAGAAGGCGGGUUCCAGUCUUCUGUCGCCGCUUGGUUCAUCUACUUACGAUGAAAUUUAACUUCAUUUUUUUAAAAAAGGCAUUUCUGACUCGAGGAGACAAAUACUACUGGUGAAUUAACAGGCCAAAUUCCAAAUCUGUCAAGGGGGGAAGAACGGAGCGAACAUGGGUGGAAGCACCUCGGGUGCCGAAGCAGCCGCUCGUGUGGCUUUGCUGCGAGGGCAGGAGCGGCAGCCCCGACCCCUUGGGGUGCGUUACCUGCCGCCGAUAGAAAUCGGGAUUUUUUCAGGCUGGAAGCACAGUACGUUCUGGAAGACCGAGCGCUGCCGAAGCUUUUUCCUCUGCAUUUCCCACCGGCCCCUGCUGCCGGGAGGGAGACGCCGUCCGGGGCAGCUGGACUCGGAGGCACCUACACAAACUCCGUAAACACGCUUUCUGCCGUCUUAAAGAUAACUGCAUUAGUAUAGGUUUGGCUGGAUAAAUAAAGUGCUCUAAUUUCAGGCUCGCGUUGUAAGUUGACAAGCUGUAAUUAUCUAAGUGCUGGCGUUACAAACAGCCGGGUGCAUCUGGCAAGCCCCAUCGUCGGCAUGUGGAGUUACCCCGCGCUCGGCACCGGAAUCUGGGAGGACGGUUCUUCCCCCGUGUCCUGGCGUGUGCUCUCACGCGCCGUGCUCUCGCCGGCCCCGGCUCCUUGUGGAUGGUCCCUGUCCCCGCAGAGCCCCGUGCCCGCCUGGCGAUGCUUCCCGGGACAGAAAAGGAGCGUAAUGGGAAAAAACUCGUGGGUUGAGAUAAAGAGAAUUUAAUAGAACAGUAACAGAAGAGAAUAACAACGAUAAUAACGGGAAAAGAAUACAAAGGAAAACGGUACACCACCAGUCGCUCUCACCACCCGGUGGUGGGUUGCCCAGCCCGUCCCGAGCAGUGAUGGGGGAUCCCGUCCCCCGGCCAACCCCCAUUUCUACAGCGAGGUGUGUCUGUGGUGUGGAAUGUCCCGUUGGCGGCUUGUCCUGUGGGUGUUCCCUCUCAGCCCCUGGGGGGAGCUGAGAAAGUUCAGGACUUAAUAUAAGCAUUACUUAGCAACAACUAAAACAAUGUAUGUCACAGAAUCACACACUGGUUCGGGUUGGAAGGGACCUCAAAGCCCACCCAGUGUCCCCCCCUGCCCUGGGCAGGGACACCUCCCACCAGCCCAGGUUGCUCCAAGCCCCGGCCAACCUGGCCUUGAACCCCCCCAGGGAUGGGGCAGCCACAGCUGCUCUGGGCAUUCUCAUACUAAAUCCAACACGCAGGAAGAAACUUAACUCUAUCCCAGCUGAAACCAGACAGCAACAGAGACCUGAAAAGUUUCAUUUUUCAGAAUCGGUAGGAAAUGGCAGCAUUUCAAGGAAAUCCCUUCUGCUGGGCGAAGGCGGCUGCCCCGUCCGGCUCCGCUUGCUGCUCCGUGGCCCUGGCAGGGCUGGACGUGCCGUAUCUCAGUGCCAGCGGGGAUUUUGGACGUGGGCAGGCUAACGGGCCGGUGGGGCACCACAGGCAGGUGCCGAUGGCAGGUAGCGUCAGGCAGGGCGUCCCAGCAGGGUCUCCGGCGAAGAACUCGCUGUUCUCCAGGAGGUGAAUUGCGAGCAGUUUGCAUCCAUCCGCAGGGAAGUGGAGCUGCUCCUUCGCCGGGCGCUGGAUUUACGAGUUGGGGUUACAGCAUAGUAACGUAAAUGUGUCAUUUCCUGAG
This is a long non-coding RNA of Chroicocephalus ridibundus (black-headed gull), 7713 nucleotides long. RefSeq lists it as uncharacterized. NCBI's taxonomy places the organism in Eukaryota, Metazoa, Chordata, Aves, Charadriiformes, Laridae. The record is from RefSeq and is a predicted model, not a curated record. The transcript is spliced from 3 exons.